UACGAAGGGGGCUAGCGUUGCUCGGAAUCACUGGGCGUAAAGCGCACGUAGGCGGAUUGCUAAGUCAGGGGUGAAAUCCUGGAGCUCAACUCCAGAACUGCCUUUGAUACUGGCGAUCUUGAGUCCGGGAGAGGUGAGUGGAACUCCGAGUGUAGAGGUGAAAUUCGUAGAUAUUCGGAAGAACACCAGUGGCGAAGGCGACUCACUGGACAUGUAUUGACGCUGAGGUGCGAAAGCGUGGGGAGCAAACAGG
This 253-nucleotide ribosomal RNA is filed under the name uncultured bacterium. RNAcentral's name for it is "partial 16S ribosomal RNA". It matches the Rfam family "Bacterial small subunit ribosomal RNA", at positions 524 to 776 of the family's 1533-position model. The record is from RNAcentral.